ACACAUGCAUCGAACGGUAAGGCCCCAGCUUGCUGGGGUACACGAGUGGCGAACGGGUGAGUAACACGUGGGUGACCUGCCCCGCACUUCGGGAUAAGCCUGGGAAACUGGGUCUAAUACCGGAUAGGACCGCACCGUGAGGGUGUGGUGGAAAGAAUUUCGGUGUGGGAUGGGCCCGCGGCCUAUCAGCUUGUUGGUGGGGUAAUGGCCUACCAAGGCGGCGACGGGUAGCCGGCCUGAGAGGGUGGACGGCCACAUUGGGACUGAGACACGGCCCAGACUCCUACGGGAGGCAGCAGUGGGGAAUAUUGCACAAUGGGCGGAAGCCUGAUGCAGCGACGCCGCGUGGGGGAUGACGGCCUUCGGGUUGUAAACUCCUUUCACCAUCGACGAAGGUUUUCUGACGGUAGAUGGAGAAGAAGCACCGGCUAACUACGUGCCAGCAGCCGCGGUAAUACGUAGGGUGCGAGCGUUGUCCGGAAUUACUGGGCGUAAAGAGCUCGUAGGUGGUUCGCGUCGUCUGUGAAAUUCCGGGGCUUAACUCCGGGCGUGCAGGCGAUACGGGCAUAACUUGAGUACUGUAGGGGAGACUGGAAUUCCUGGUGUAGCGGUGAAAUGCGCAGAUAUCAGGAGGAACACCGGUGGCGAAGGCGGGUCUCUGGGCAGUAACUGACGCUGAGGAGCGAAAGCAUGGGUAGCGAACAGGAUUAGAUACCCUGGUAGUCCAUGCCGUAAACGGUGGGCGCUAGGUGUAGGGGUCUUCCACGACUUCUGUGCCGUAGCUAACGCAUUAAGCGCCCCGCCUGGGGAGUACGGCCAUGCAAGGCUAAAACUCAAAGGAAUUGACGGGGGCCCGCACAAGCGGCGGAGCAUGUGGAUUAAUUCGAUGCAACGCGAAGAACCUUACCUGGGCUUGACAUAUACGGGACCGGGCCAGAGAUGGUCCUUCCCUUGUGGCUCGUAUACAGGUGGUGCAUGGUUGUCGUCAGCUCGUGUCGUGAGAUGUUGGGUUAAGUCCCGCAACGAGCGCAACCCUUGUCUUAUGUUGCCAGCACGUAAUGGUGGGGACUCGUGAGUUUCUGCCGGGGUCAACUCGGAGGAAGGUGGGGAUGACGUCAAAUCAUCAUGCCCCUUAUGUCCAGGGCUUCACACAUGCUACAAUGGUCGGUACAGUGGGUUGCGAUGCCGUGAGGUGGAGCUAAUCCCUGAAAGCCGGUCUCAGUUCGGAUCGGGGUCUGCAACUCGACCCCGUGAAGUCGGAGUCGCUAGUAAUCGCAGAUCAGCAACGCUGCGGUGAAUACGUUCCCGGGCCUUGUACACACCGCCCGUCACGUCAUGAAAGUCGGUAACACCCGAAGCCAGUGGCCCAACCCUUGUGGGGGGAGCUGUCGAAGGUGGGAUCGGCGAUUACGGGGACGAAGUCGUAACAAGGUAGCCGUACCG
This 1443-nucleotide ribosomal RNA is filed under the name Corynebacterium xerosis. Its description in RNAcentral is "bacterial SSU rRNA". It matches the Rfam family "Bacterial small subunit ribosomal RNA". Lineage: Bacteria; Bacillati; Actinomycetota; Actinomycetes; Mycobacteriales; Corynebacteriaceae. The record is from RNAcentral.